CGAACGCUGGCGGCGUGCCUAAUACAUGCAAGUAGAACGCACAGUUUAUACCGUAGCUUGCUACACCAUAGACUGUGAGUUGCGAACGGGUGAGUAACGCGUAGGUAACCUGCCUGGUAGCGGGGGAUAACUAUUGGAAACGAUAGCUAAUACCGCAUAAUAUUAAUUAUUGCAUGAUAAUUAAUUGAAAGGUGCAAUUGCACCACUACCAGAUGGACCUGCGUUGUAUUAGCUAGUAGGUGAGGUAACGGCUCACCUAGGCGACGAUACAUAGCCGACCUGAGAGGGUGAUCGGCCACACUGGGACUGAGACACGGCCCAGACUCCUACGGGAGGCAGCAGUAGGGAAUCUUCGGCAAUAGACGAAAGUCUGACCGAGCAACGCCGCGUGAGUGAAGAAGGUUUUCGGAUCGUAAAGCUCUGUUGUAAGAGAAGAACGGGUGUGAGAGUGGAAAGUUCACACUGUGACGGUAUCUUACCAGAAAGGGACGGCUAACUACGUG
Molecule: ribosomal RNA, 503 nt
Filed under: uncultured bacterium
Lineage: Bacteria
Description: partial 16S ribosomal RNA
Rfam family: Bacterial small subunit ribosomal RNA
Source: RNAcentral